GUUCUGUAUGAAAAGAGAGGUUAGCACUCCCUUUGACAAGGAUGGAAGAGGCCCUUCAACCUAAGAACAUGCACACAAUUAAGGCAUUGCCAACUACUUUAUGACAUCUAACUAUUAUUUUAG
Small nuclear RNA from Phyllostomus discolor (pale spear-nosed bat), 123 nucleotides. The record is from RefSeq and is a predicted model, not a curated record. NCBI's taxonomy places the organism in Eukaryota, Metazoa, Chordata, Mammalia, Chiroptera, Phyllostomidae.